RNAcentral lists this transfer RNA (75 nucleotides) under Bdellovibrio sp. Its description in RNAcentral is "tRNA-Val". It matches the Rfam family "tRNA". Rfam says of the family: Transfer RNA (tRNA) molecules are approximately 80 nucleotides in length. Their secondary structure includes four short double-helical elements and three loops (D, anti-codon, and T loops). Further hydrogen bonds mediate the characteristic L-shaped molecular structure. tRNAs have two regions of fundamental functional importance: the anti-codon, which is responsible for specific mRNA codon recognition, and the 3' end, to which the tRNAs corresponding amino acid is attached (by aminoacyl-tRNA synthetases). tRNAs cope with the degeneracy of the genetic code in two manners: having more than one tRNA (with a specific anti-codon) for a particular amino acid; and 'wobble' base-pairing, i.e. permitting non-standard base-pairing at the 3rd anti-codon position. Lineage: Bacteria; Pseudomonadati; Bdellovibrionota; Bdellovibrionia; Bdellovibrionales; Pseudobdellovibrionaceae. RNAcentral also lists the same sequence under 6 other names. The record is from RNAcentral.
UGGCUCGUAGCUCAGCGGGAGAGCACUACCUUGACACGGUAGGGGUCGCUGGUUCAAUCCCAGUCGAGCCAACCA